UACGGGGGGGGCAAGCGUUGUUCGGAAUUACUGGGCGUAAAGGGCUCGUAGGUGGCCAACUAAGUCAGACGUGAAAUCCCUCGGCUUAACCGGGGAACGGCGUCUGAUACUGGAUGGCUUGAGUUCGGGAGAGGGAUGCGGAAUUCCAGGUGUAGCGGUGAAAUGCGUAGAUAUCGUGGAGAACACCCGUGGCGAAAACGGGCUUCUGGCAGAUUCCUGACGCUGAGGCGCGAAGGCUAGGGGAGCGAACGGG
RNAcentral lists this ribosomal RNA (253 nucleotides) under uncultured bacterium. Its description in RNAcentral is "partial 16S ribosomal RNA". It matches the Rfam family "Bacterial small subunit ribosomal RNA", at positions 524 to 776 of the family's 1533-position model. The record is from RNAcentral.